UGGGGAAUAUUGCACAAUGGGGGAAACCCUGAUGCAGCGACGCCGCGUGAGCGAUGAAGGCUUUCGAGUCGUAAAGCUCUGUCCUAUGGGAAGAUAAUGACGGUACCUCAAGAAAAAGCCCCGGCUAACUACGUGCCAGCAGCCGCGGUAAUACGUAGGGGGCUAGCGUUGUCCGGAAUCACUGGGCGUAAAGGGUUCGCAGGCGGAAUAACAAGUCAGAUGUGAAAGGCAUGGGCUCAACCCAUGUAAGCAUUUGAAACUGUAAUUCUUGAGAAGUGGAGAGGUAAGUGGAAUUCCUAGUGUAGCGGUGAAAUGCGUAGAUAUUAGGAGGAAUACCUGUGGCGAAGGCGACUUACUGGACACAAAUCUGACGCUGAGGAACGAAAGCGUGGGUAGCAAACAGG
This 404-nucleotide ribosomal RNA is filed under the name Verrucomicrobiota bacterium. RNAcentral's name for it is "Verrucomicrobia bacterium partial 16S ribosomal RNA". It matches the Rfam family "Bacterial small subunit ribosomal RNA", at positions 355 to 776 of the family's 1533-position model. The record is from RNAcentral. Lineage: Bacteria; Pseudomonadati; Verrucomicrobiota.